UCCUAGCCUCUAAGAGAAUCCUGUG
This 25-nucleotide non-coding RNA is filed under the name Mus musculus (house mouse). The record is from RNAcentral. Lineage: Eukaryota; Metazoa; Chordata; Mammalia; Rodentia; Muridae.